RNAcentral lists this ribosomal RNA (392 nucleotides) under uncultured Gammaproteobacteria bacterium. RNAcentral's name for it is "bacterial SSU rRNA". It matches the Rfam family "Bacterial small subunit ribosomal RNA", at positions 370 to 779 of the family's 1533-position model. Lineage: Bacteria; Pseudomonadati; Pseudomonadota; Gammaproteobacteria. The record is from RNAcentral.
AAUGGGCGAAAGCCUGAUCUAGCCAUGCCGCGUGUGUGAUGAAGGCCCUAGGGUCGUAAAGCACUUUCGCCAGGGAUGAUAAUGACAGUACCUGGUAAAGAAACCCCGGCUAACUCCGUGCCAGCAGCCGCGGUAAUACGGAGGGGGUUAGCGUUGUUCGGAAUUACUGGGCGUAAAGCGUACGUAGGCGGAUCAGAAAGUAGGGGGUGAAAUCCCGGGGCUCAACCCCGGAACUGCCUCCUAAACUCCUGGUCUUGAGUUCGAGAGAGGUGAGUGGAAUUCCGAGUGUAGAGGUGAAAUUCGUAGAUAUUCGGAGGAACACCAGUGGCGAAGGCGGCUCACUGGCUCGAUACUGACGCUGAGGUACGAAAGUGUGGGGAGCAAACAGGAUU